CAUUCACGGAGAGUUUGAUCCUGGCUCAGGACGAACGCUGGCGGCGUGCUUAACACAUGCAAGUCGAACGAUGAAGCCCUUCGGGGUGGAUUAGUGGCGAACGGGUGAGUAACACGUGGGCAAUCUGCCCUGCACUCUGGGACAAGCCCUGGAAACGGGGUCUAAUACCGGAUAUGACCGUCCAUCGCAUGGUGGAUGGUGUAAAGCUCCGGCGGUGCAGGAUGAGCCCGCGGCCUAUCAGCU
Molecule: ribosomal RNA, 243 nt
Filed under: Streptomyces sp. SID7982
Lineage: Bacteria; Bacillati; Actinomycetota; Actinomycetes; Kitasatosporales; Streptomycetaceae
Description: partial 16S ribosomal RNA
Rfam family: Bacterial small subunit ribosomal RNA
Source: RNAcentral